RNAcentral lists this unclassified non-coding RNA (344 nucleotides) under soil metagenome. RNAcentral's name for it is "partial contains 5.8S ribosomal RNA, internal transcribed spacer 2, and large subunit ribosomal RNA". The stretch from base 1 to 120 matches the Rfam family "5.8S ribosomal RNA", at positions 35 to 154 of the family's 154-position model. The record is from RNAcentral.
GAUGAAGAACGCAGCGAAAUGCGAAAAGUAAUGUGAAUUGCAGAAUUCAGUGAAUCAUCGAAUCUUUGAACGCACAUUGCGCCCGCCAGUAUUCUGGCGGGCAUGCCUGUUCGAGCGUCAUUUCAACCCUCAAGCCCCCGGGCUUGGUGUUGGGGAUCGGCGUGCCCUCGCGGCGCGCCGUCCCCUAAAUCUAGUGGCGGUCUCGCUGUAGCUUCCUCUGCGUAGUAGCAACACUCGCACUGGAUCGCAGCGCGGCCACGCCGUUAAACCCCCCACUUCUGAAAGUUUGACCUCGGAUCAGGUAGGAAUACCCGCUGAACUUAAGCAUAUCAAUAAGCGGAGGA